This 6024-nucleotide long non-coding RNA is filed under the name Homo sapiens (human). RNAcentral describes it as "HSALNT0060659". The record is from RNAcentral. Lineage: Eukaryota; Metazoa; Chordata; Mammalia; Primates; Hominidae.
GCUGUGAAUCCAUCUGGUCCUAGAAUUUUUUUGGUUGGUAAUAAGCUCUUAUAUUUGUAAUGCAUAUUAGUCCUUUUAAAAAUGCCCUUCACCUCCUACUUUUUGUGGUAAACACCAUCAUAUUCUUAAAGACCCCUCCCAAAUCUCGCAUUCUUUAUAAGGCCUUCUCUGUGAGUUGCAGGUGGUUUUUCAACCUGUCCCAUAUAUUCCCAUAUAAUCACCCCUAUAAGGGAGCCAUCACCCUACAAGAUAAUUAUUUGUUUAUGUGCCUGGCUCCUCCACUAAAGCUACUUCUGAAUAUGGGCUGCAUCUUAUCCAUCUUUGUGCUUCUGACCUCCACCACCAACAAACAAGGCAUAGCAGACAGCCUGGUAUUGAGUAGCAUGCCAUACACAUCUGUAGACUGAAAAGCAAUUUAGCACGUGUACAAGUUGGGCUCUCCAAGAAGCAGACCUGGAGAGAGAUCCUAGUACAUAGGUAUUUAUUAAGGUGUGCCUUUGAGACCAGUACCUGUGGAUGGGAAGAAUAGAAAUCAGGAGUGGGCAGAGGGAAAAGUUAAGCUGUGAUGUAGGCCCAGUGACAAGCCACUGACACUUCUAUGGGGAGCUGUAAAUAGACCUUUGGCAUUGUCCCAAGUUGGGCCAAUAUGGCCAGGCCUUUACAGGCUCACACAUCAUUUAUUGCUUGUGGGCCACUCCAGGAAGGUGCAUGACUUUGGGUAAGGAGGCUCUCUGGAGCUGAGGUAAUCCCUGAAAGGACUAACAGCUGAAGAUUGUCUGCUGAGAAUACUGCCGAAGACUAAGGCAACAAAUUCUUCCACAUACAGGAUCUGGAUGGCACAUCACAGUGCCCAAAAUAAAGGCUGAACUUAUUUAGUUAUAAUCUGAUCAGUUAGGAAUUGCAAUCAGCUGAGAGUGAGAGAGUCUCCACAACAGUGAUGCAAACUCAUCACAGGCUUUUUCUUUUAACAGGAAUUCCGGAGCAAGGAAGUUAUUGGCAUUCGUUUAGUGUACCACAAUGCUAGGGCUGAGGCCUCCGGGAUCCUCUGGGCCUUUUUCAUGGUUGAAAAAUGACAGUGGCAGCUUCAUUCCUUGUGCCCAGUUCCAGAGAGGAGGAAUGAGAAAGGAGCAAGAAGAAAAGGCUGACAUCUAUGGGAAGCCAAACUUUUUCAGGAAUCCCCUGCUCAGGUUUGCUCAGGCUUGUUUGACAUCUUACUGGUAAGAGCACCAUUGCAUGGCCAGCCCUAGAUUCAAGGGAGGCUGAAAACUGUAAUUUUACAGCUGAAUACUACUGCCUCUCUCUCAUAUGCCCUCAAUGCAGAAUUCUUUCAGUGAAAAAAUAAACAAUGGAAUCGGGUAGGCACUAGAAAUUUCUGCUACAUAAACUCAGGCUGAAGAAUCCAGGUUCAAAAGAAAAAUAAGUGACAUGUAAAAAGAUCAGAUAACAUGGAAACAGGGAAGAUUCAUAAGGUAAUUGCUGUUGUGUAAAGUGACUAUUUCUCACUUAGCACAGCAAAAUUACGCGAAUUAAUAAAGUCUGCCAGAGGAGAUUAAGGAAAGACAAAGGCAUACAACCUGACACAACAGAGAACACGUUGCUGGGACAAAGAAUCAAAGUCAUCUUAAAUUAAAGAGGGCACAGAAGAGAAUAACAGAGAAAAGGCCAAAACAGGAAUAAGACACCACCUGGCAUUAAAACAAAACACCAAGCAUAAAACACAAAGACUGCAACUACUAGUGAGCAGCAGUCCUUAGAAAUUCAGGUGAGAAGUCAAAAAGGCAGCUGGUGGGGCUGCAAGUGUGUUAAAAGUUUGUUGCCAGUGUUCAUAAAAGAAGUUAAAGGUUACAUUUUGAAGAUAGAAAUAGGUUUCCCUAAUGUGGGGAAAGAGGUGUAAAGAGGGCUGUGACACACAGGAGGAACUGCCUUCCCUCACCCGCUCUUUGGGGCACAGCUGUUCGGAGCAGGUCAGAAAAGCUAAGUUGACAAAAAACAUCAGGAGGUGAUAAAGUGAGAACCCUGGAUCCAGAAUGCAGCAAACAAAGAAUGAACAAAAAGUUAAACAGAUUUUAAGAAUUAGAUAAGAAUUAAAUCAAGGUAUAGCCAAAGAGUGGCCAAUAUUAAUUCUAUGAUUAAGAAGGAAAGGACACAGAGGCAAUGUUGAAUGAGCCACUGUGAAUUUUAACUCCAGUCCUGAAGGAAGGCAUGCGGGUGGGGGGUCUCCUUGAGAGGUCAAUUCGUCCAGCCCUCCAUGCAAAUGCCAGUCCCUUGUGUUCUCAGAAAAUGCUAGUAACUUUCCUACCACAACUGCCUUUGAUAGUUUAAUUAUCCCUCAUACUAUAAUUUUUAUUUGAGGGAGGUAGGGCACAUGCAAUGGACAGGAUAUUGAAUAUUCUGCCAAGGGUGCUGAGUUUUAAUUCUGGUUCUGCCACUAACCAAUUUUACAGCCUUGGAAAAAUAACAUCCUCUCUUUUGACCGCAUUUCCUCAUCUGUAAAAUGAAAGAGAUGAACCAUCUCUCUCUUGGUCCUCUUCAUCCUCUACGUUGAUGGAUAAUGAAUGAUGUGUUUUCCUCACAAUAAUCCUUCAUAAGACAGAUCUCAACAAUAACUCACCAGAAUGACACUUUACCUAAUAAUUGCUGUUUGAGAAAUGGACAACCCUAGUUCCUUCAAUCUUUAAUUUUUCUGCAUUUCUACCCAUAAAAUAUAGUAGUAAUGAUAUUCUAAUAAUGAAAACUGCCAAAAAUACAGGAUUUAACAACUUGUAAAGUUUAUUUGUAUAAAUCUUCUCACUUGAUAGUCACAAUAUUCAGAUGAUGGAGGUAGCAAAGAUUUGUUAAUUGUCCCCUGAUGUCAUUUCUUUUGUCUUAAAUAGGUCCCUCAUUUUUUAUCUUGACCCAUGGCCACCUGAAGUAAAGCCUAUCUUUCCCAGCCCCCUACCACAGUUAGGCGUGACACCUCUCUACGUUCUGGCAGAAGCACCGUUACAAUUUUCAGAAAGGCCCUUAAAGAGAGGCAGGCAUGCAUAUCUUUCCUCCUUCCUUUUUCUUUCUGGCUGAAAUGCAGACUGACACGUGGAGCUCAUGUAGAUCUUGAACCACAGGGUAGAACUGCACGUGGAGAAUGGCGAAGCAAAAGGAUAAAGAACCUUGAUUCCUAGUGACUCCAUGCAUCUGCUUUAGCAGGCUCUGGAAUUCUUUAAUAUGUGAAAAAAAUAAAUUUAUGUUUGGUUUCAAUAACUAAUGCUUUUAUUUACUUCACUUGCAGCCCAAAUAAAUUCUAACUGACACAAUUAUAGAAAUUAUUACUUUUAUUUUACAGAUUUAAUAAUUUGCUGAAAAUUUCAAUGGGGCUAAAAUUUGAACAUAGGGCACUUCUGACACCUAAGCCCAACACACUUCCUACUUCUCUCUAAAUAGAUAAUAGUAACCAUUGGCAGGUGUAAGCUGAAAGACAAACCCUAAUGGAACAUCCAUCAGUGAUUAGAACAUCGCAGGAGUAGCUCAUGUUGUCCUCCACAUAGAAAAACAUUCCUAUGACAAAUUAGAGUGAACGACCGUCUCUUUAGAAUUGAGUAGAUAUUGGACACCACCUCUGUAAAGGACUCAUAUUCUCCCCAAAGUAUCUAAGUAAGAACUAGGAGGAAAUCAGAAUGCAGUAUCAGAAAUGUUAGGCAAAUGAUCAAAAAGUACCACGUUACCAAGGUUGCUGUGAGGUGCAUUUCAAAGCCUUUAAGAAAUAAGCCAAGACUUCAAGGGGAAUUUUUUAGGAAAUAGAAAAAGAAGUCCUUAUUUCUCCUCCCACACCCCAUUCUCUCAACCCCUCCAUAUCAGCUCUAGUUCUUUUGGUUUUUGUCUGUUUUCAUUUUUUUAAACACCUGGACAAAUCUUAUCACUUCCAGAAAAUGAAGGGAUGGGGAACUCAACCUUGCUUCUCACUGUGCUGAGUGAGCCCCCAGACUCCACAUUGUUGGCUUAGCUUGUAGUGUUGUGCUCUGACAGCCCUUAGCAGCUGAAGCAUAAAGAAUAGAAAUAAUAUUUCAGGAUUUUAUUAGGACUAUUAAUUUUUUUCUCUUGUAGAUAAAACUCUUCAAUAUUUCUAACAGUAAUACUAUUAUCUUAGUAUAUGAAUGGCACCUAUGAUGCUCAAAACAGCUGUGAUAGCCCAUUCACUAUGAACAGCAGAGAUGGCUGAAGCCCAUUAGUUAGCUCAGCUUUUCAUAACUUAAGAAAAACCUGCCAGCCAUGUAUCCCUCACUUCUACAUAUUUUAUAAUAAUGGAACAUUUUUAGAUAAAAUCAUAAAUAAAAGAUGCUGCUGAGUUUUUGAACAAUGCAUUAUAUGUUUUGUAUUUUAUUUUGACUUUAUUUUUUCACAGCACAAUCAUAACUACAUAGAUGAUUACAGUUGUAUGUUCGGAGAAAAAGAGGAGAGAGAAGACUAAGACUCAUAGGAAAGAAUCCUGCUUUUAUUAAUCAUUCAUACAUAUUUUCAUUUAUGUUUUGAAAGCCAACAACAUACCAGGCUGUCUGUUUGGCACUUAAUAUCUUCAGUCUGACCGAUACCAACUUCGGUUUUCUUGUGGAAAAAAUAAGGAUGUGCUCCUCCUGGGCAUUCAGAAUCCAGCAGGAACACUAUCGCCUCUAUGAACCCCAUACCAGCCCAGGCUAAGUAAGAUGCUGUGGUAGAUUACAUUUUCCAAAGAUGGCUACACCAAGAUAUAUCCUGCCCCACAUAUCCUUCUUAUACCAUGACACUGACACGUCUCCAUCAAGAGAUGAGAUCCUUGUUCCCCUACCUUGACCUGGGUGGACCUUUGUAACUGCCUCAAACAACAGUGUGACAGAAGUGCAUGACCUCUCAGAUGUAUUUGUCGGGGUUUUCCAGAGAAACAGAAUCAAUAGGAUGUAUGCGUGUGUAUGCAUGUGUGUGCGUGUGUGUGUGUGUAGAGAGAGAGAGAGAAACAGAGAGAAAGAAGGAGAGAGAGAGAGAUUUAUUAUAAGGAAUUAGCUCACAUGAUUAUGGAGACUGGCAGUUCACAAGAUUUGCAAGGGUGAGUCAGUGAAGCUAGAGACCCAGGAGAGCCAAUGGUAUAGGUUCAGUCUGACGACCAGCUGGUCCAAGAACCAGGAGGACUCAAUGUUUCAGUUCAAGUCCAAAGGCAGGAUAAAGCUUAUGUCCCAGUUUGAAGGCAGUUAGGCAGGAGAAAUUCUCUUUUACCUGGGUGAGGGUCAGCCUGUUUGUUCUACUCAGAACUUCAGCUGUUGGAUAAGGUCCACCCACUUUAGGAAGGGCAGUCUGCUUUACUCAGUCUACCAACUUAAAUGUUAAUCUCAUCCAAAAAUACUCUUCUAGAAAUAAUCAGUCACCCUGUGACCUAGUCAAGUUGACACAUAAAAUUGAACAUCACGUAAGACUAAGUAUAAAAAGCAGUAUGACUUCUGUCUGGUUCUCUCUGUCUCUCUCUUUAUCUCUCGGGAUAAUUGACUUGGGAACCCAAACACCAUGUUGUGAGGAAGUUCAGGCCAUAUGAAAAGGCCAUGUCAAGAUAUUCUGGGAAACACCUUUAGCUAGGCCCCCAGUUAAUAUGUCACACAUGUGAGUGAAUGACCCUUCCAAUAAUUUCGUCCCUCAGCCUUCAAAUUUUCUAGCAAAGACUCCAGAUAUCAUGUAGACAAACUAACCUUUAUGUGCCCUGUCUUAAUUCUUCACCCACAGAAAAUGUGAGCAAUAAUACAUGAUUUUUCUUGCUUCAGGCCGCUAAGGUUUGAGGUAAAGUUUUGCACGGUAAUAGAAAAUAAAUAGUGAUACCAUCUUACAUGGUCCUACAUAUCAACUUUUAAUGAAAAGAUAGCUCUUAUCACACUAUGUCAUCAUUCCAUUUACUUUAACUAUUGCAAGAUUGGGAAUUCUCAGAUGGCUAGGACCAUGCCAUCUCAACCUUUUCUCUUUGUUUUCCCAGUCCCAAGGGUGAACAGUGCUUUCUGGAGUUGCUCUUAUUUGCCUUUUCACAUCCUUAAUUCCUAG